Molecule: ribosomal RNA, 404 nt
Filed under: Verrucomicrobiota bacterium
Lineage: Bacteria; Pseudomonadati; Verrucomicrobiota
Description: Verrucomicrobia bacterium partial 16S ribosomal RNA
Rfam family: Bacterial small subunit ribosomal RNA
Source: RNAcentral
UGGGGAAUAUUGGACAAUGGGCGCAAGCCUGAUCCAGCCAUGCCGCGGGAGUGAUGAAGGCCCUAGGGGUGUAAAGCUCUUUCACCGGGGAAGAUAAUGACGGUAACCGGAGAAGAAGCCCCGGCUAACUUCGUGCCAGCAGCCGCGGUAAUACGAAGGGGGCUAGCGUUGUUCGGAUUUACUGGGCGUAAAGCGCACGUAGGCGGACUAUUAAGUCAGGGGUGAAAUCCCGGGGCUCAACCCCGGAACUGCCUUUGAUACUGGUAGUCUUGAGUUCGAGAGAGGUGAGUGGAAUUCCGAGUGUAGAGGUGAAAUUCGUAGAUAUUCGGAGGAACACCAGUGGCGAAGGCGGCUCACUGGCUCGAUACUGACGCUGAGGUGCGAAAGCGUGGGGAGCAAACAGG